RNAcentral lists this ribosomal RNA (164 nucleotides) under uncultured Nostoc sp. RNAcentral describes it as "partial 16S ribosomal RNA". It matches the Rfam family "Bacterial small subunit ribosomal RNA", at positions 376 to 553 of the family's 1533-position model. Lineage: Bacteria; Bacillati; Cyanobacteriota; Cyanophyceae; Nostocales; Nostocaceae. The record is from RNAcentral.
CGAAAGCCUGACGGAGCAAUACCGCGCUGAGGGAGGAAGGCUCUUGGGUUGUAAACCUCUUUUCUCAGGGAAGAACGCAAUGACGGUACCUGAGGAAUAAGCAUCGGCUAACUCCGUGCCAGCAGCCGCGGUAAUACGGAGGAUGCAAGCGUUAUCCGGAAUGA